CAACAGUGACAGAGAGGCACAAUGAGCUCCAAGACUCUUCUUUUAUGGGCAGCCAUGCUCGUUUUUCACGUUUGUACUGGUCAGAUUGUUCUUGACCAGCCUUCAUCACAGUCGACAACUCCAGGACAGAGCGUCUCUCUGAAAUGUAAGGCCCGUACCUCUGUAGGGAGCUGUCUGAACUGGUACCAUCAGAGAUCUGGCCAGAUACCCCGGCUCCUGAUUUAUUACGCCACCAGCCGUCAAUCUGGUAUUCCAGCAGGAAAACUGAAGAAAUAAGCCCAUAAGAAGUCACCGACUCGAGUUCCCUUCCGUGUUUACAAGCACACCCCCGUCCCAGUCUGAUGACAUCACUUCCGGUUCCAUGCUCCUACAUCACCAAGACGUCCCUUGGAUUUUUUUCCAUCAACCUUUGUACUUCCUGUCUGUCCAUUAUAUAAGUCUGCCUGUUAUACCAACAUGUCAUCUGGGCUGUAUUCGUUAUGCAUACAAAAGUCUUGAUAAGACAAGUGGACCUCACACUAUACGGGGCAGGAAAAACCCCAAACUUU
Non-coding RNA from Polypterus senegalus (gray bichir), 548 nucleotides. The record is from the annotation of a RefSeq genome assembly. NCBI's taxonomy places the organism in Eukaryota, Metazoa, Chordata, Cladistia, Polypteriformes, Polypteridae.